AGUCGAGAAGCAAACGAACGACUCUCAGCAACGGAUAUCUUGGCUCUUGCAACGAUGAAGAACGCAGCGAAAUGCGAUACCUAGUGUGAAUUGCAGAAUUCCGCGAAUCAUCGAGUCUUUGAACGCAAGUUGCGCCCGAGGCUUGUCCCAAGGGCAUGCCU
This 161-nucleotide ribosomal RNA is filed under the name Scapania aspera. Its description in RNAcentral is "5.8S ribosomal RNA". The stretch from base 20 to 161 matches the Rfam family "5.8S ribosomal RNA". From Rfam's summary of the family: 5.8S ribosomal RNA (5.8S rRNA) is a component of the large subunit of the eukaryotic ribosome. It is transcribed by RNA polymerase I as part of the 45S precursor that also contains 18S and 28S rRNA. Lineage: Eukaryota; Viridiplantae; Streptophyta; Jungermanniopsida; Jungermanniales; Scapaniaceae. The record is from RNAcentral.